CCUACGGGUGGCAGCAGUGGGGAAUAUUGGACAAUGGGCGAAAGCCUGAUCCAGCCAUGCCGCGUGUGUGAAGAAGGCCUUCGGGUUGUAAAGCACUUUCAGUGGGGAAGAAAGCCUUGGGGCUAAUACCCUCGAGGAAGGACAUCACCCACAGAAGAAGCACCGGCUAACUCCGUGCCAGCAGCCGCGGUAAUACGGAGGGUGCGAGCGUUAAUCGGAAUUACUGGGCGUAAAGCGCGCGUAGGCGGUCUGAUAAGCCGGUUGUGAAAGCCCCGGGCUCAACCUGGGAACGGCAUCCGGAACUGUCAGGCUAGAGUGCAGGAGAGGAAGGUAGAAGUCCCGGUGUAGCGGGGAACUGCGUAGAGAUCGGGAGGAAUACCAGUGGCGAAGGCGGCCUUCUGGACUGACACUGACGCUGAGGUGCGAAAGCGUGGGUAGCAAACAGGAUUAGAUACCCUGGUAGUC
This 465-nucleotide ribosomal RNA is filed under the name Vreelandella stevensii. RNAcentral describes it as "partial 16S ribosomal RNA". It matches the Rfam family "Bacterial small subunit ribosomal RNA", at positions 338 to 795 of the family's 1533-position model. Lineage: Bacteria; Pseudomonadati; Pseudomonadota; Gammaproteobacteria; Oceanospirillales; Halomonadaceae. The record is from RNAcentral.